AGUGAACGCUGGCGGUAGGCCUAACACAUGCAAGUCGAACGGCAGCACAGUAAGAGCUUGCUCUUACGGGUGGCGAGUGGCGGACGGGUGAGGAAUACAUCGGACUCUACUUUUUCGUGGGGGAUAACGUAGGGAAACUUACGCUAAUACCGCAUACGACCUACGGGUGAAAGCAGUGGAUCUUCGGACCUUGCGCGAUUGAAUGAGCCGAUGUCGGAUUAGCUAGUUGGCGGGGUAAAGGCCCACCAAGGCGACGAUCCGUAGCUGGUCUGAGAGGAUGAUCAGCCACACUGGAACUGAGACACGGUCCAGACUCCUACGGGAGGCAGCAGUGGGGAAUAUUGGACAAUGGGGGCAAGCCUGAUCCAGCCAUACCGCGUGGGUGAAGAAGGCCUUCGGGUUGUAAAGCCCUUUUGUUGGGAAAGAAAAGCAGCAGGUUAAUACCCCGCUGUUCUGACGGUACCCAAAGAAUAAGCACCGGCUAACUUCGUG
RNAcentral lists this ribosomal RNA (492 nucleotides) under uncultured bacterium. Its description in RNAcentral is "partial 16S ribosomal RNA". It matches the Rfam family "Bacterial small subunit ribosomal RNA", at positions 29 to 507 of the family's 1533-position model. The record is from RNAcentral.